This 467-nucleotide ribosomal RNA is filed under the name uncultured bacterium. Its description in RNAcentral is "partial 16S ribosomal RNA". It matches the Rfam family "Bacterial small subunit ribosomal RNA", at positions 29 to 507 of the family's 1533-position model. The record is from RNAcentral.
AACGAACGCUGGCGGCGUGCUUAACACAUGCAAGUCGAACGGAAAGGCUCCAGCUUGCUGGAGUACUCGAGUGGCGACCGGGUGAGUAACACGUGGGUAAUCUGCCCUUCACUCUGGGAUAAGCCUGGGAAACUGGGUCUAAUACUGGAUAUGACCUUUCUCCUUUUGGUGUUUGGUGGAAAGUUUUUCUGUGUAGGAUGAGCCCGCGGCGUAUCAGCUUGUUGGUGGGGUUAUGGCCUACCAAGGCUACGACGGGUAGCCGGCCUGAGAGGGCGGUCGGCCACAUUGGGACUGAGAUACGGCCCAGACUCCUACGGGAGGCAGCAGUGGGGAAUAUUGCACAAUGGGAGGAAGCCUGAUGCAGCGACGCCGCGUGAGGGAUGACGGGCUUCGGGUUGUAAACCUCUUUCAGCAGGGACGAAGCGUAAGUGACGGUACCUGCAGAAGAAGCACCGGCUAACUACGUG